This 84-nucleotide transfer RNA is filed under the name Candidatus Harrisonbacteria bacterium. RNAcentral's name for it is "tRNA-Leu". It matches the Rfam family "tRNA". From Rfam's summary of the family: Transfer RNA (tRNA) molecules are approximately 80 nucleotides in length. Their secondary structure includes four short double-helical elements and three loops (D, anti-codon, and T loops). The record is from RNAcentral. Lineage: Bacteria; Candidatus Harrisoniibacteriota.
GCUCUGGUGGCGGAAUUGGUAGACGCGCAGCGUUCAGGACGCUGUGGGCUUUAGCCCGUGGGAGUUCAAAUCUCCCCCAGAGCA